AUUGAACGCUGGCGGCAUGCCUUACACAUGCAAGUCGAACGGCAGCAUGCUCUUUCUUGCUAGAUUGCUGGCGAGUGGCGCACGGGUGAGUCAUACAUCACAACCUCCCCUGUUGUGGGGGAUAUCUAGUCGAAAGAUCAGCUACUACCUCAUACGUCCUGCUGCUUAGAGUGGGGGACCGCAAUUCCUCAUGCUGUAGUAGCCUCCGAUGUGGUGUUAGCUAUUUUGUGGGGUAAGGUCGCACCAAGUCGACGAUCAGUCGCUGGUCUGAGAGAACGAUAGGCGACACUGGAAGUGAGACAGGGACAAGACUACUAAGGGAGGCAGCAGUGGGGAAUGUUGGGCAAAGGGCGAAAGCAUGAUCCAGCAAGGCCGCGUGUGUGAAGAAGGCCUUCGGGUUGUAAAGCACUUUUGUCCGGAAAGAAAUGGCUCUGGUUAAUACCUGGGGUGGAUGACGGUACCGGAAGAAUAAGGACCGGCUAACUACGUG
Molecule: ribosomal RNA, 490 nt
Filed under: uncultured bacterium
Lineage: Bacteria
Description: partial 16S ribosomal RNA
Rfam family: Bacterial small subunit ribosomal RNA
Source: RNAcentral